Molecule: transfer RNA, 82 nt
Filed under: Patescibacteria group bacterium
Lineage: Bacteria
Description: tRNA-Leu
Rfam family: tRNA
About the family: Transfer RNA (tRNA) molecules are approximately 80 nucleotides in length. Their secondary structure includes four short double-helical elements and three loops (D, anti-codon, and T loops). Further hydrogen bonds mediate the characteristic L-shaped molecular structure. tRNAs have two regions of fundamental functional importance: the anti-codon, which is responsible for specific mRNA codon recognition, and the 3' end, to which the tRNAs corresponding amino acid is attached (by aminoacyl-tRNA synthetases). tRNAs cope with the degeneracy of the genetic code in two manners: having more than one tRNA (with a specific anti-codon) for a particular amino acid; and 'wobble' base-pairing, i.e. permitting non-standard base-pairing at the 3rd anti-codon position.
Source: RNAcentral
GCUGGGGUGAUGGAAUUGGUAUACAUGUACGCUUGAGGUGCGUAUGCCGCAAGGCUUGAGGGUUCGAGUCCCUUCUCCAGCA